GAUGAAGAACGUAGCGAAAUGCGAUAAGUAAUGUGAAUUGCAGAAUUCAGUGAAUCAUCGAGUCUUUGAACGCACAUUGCGCCCCCUGGUAUUCCGGGGGGCAUGCCUGUCCGAGCGUCAUUGCCGCCCUCAAGCACGGCUUGUGUGUUGGGCCCCCGCCCCCCGGCUUCGGGGGGCGGGCCCGAAAGGCAGCGGCGGCACCGCGUCCGGUCCUCGAGCGUAUGGGGCUUCGUCACCCGCUCUUGUAGGCCCGGCCGGCGCUUGCCGACACAUCAAUCUUUUUUCCAGGUUGACCUCGGAUCAGGUAGGGAUACCCGCUGAACUUAAGCAUAUCAAUAAGCGGAGGA
RNAcentral lists this unclassified non-coding RNA (347 nucleotides) under soil metagenome. Its description in RNAcentral is "partial contains 5.8S ribosomal RNA, internal transcribed spacer 2, and large subunit ribosomal RNA". The stretch from base 1 to 120 matches the Rfam family "5.8S ribosomal RNA", at positions 35 to 154 of the family's 154-position model. The record is from RNAcentral.